AGGAUAAUAGUUAAAUUAUUAAUAUUUGAAUUGCAAUCAAAAGAUGUUGAAAUAUCAACUUAUCUU
Molecule: transfer RNA, 66 nt
Filed under: Bradycellus ruficollis
Lineage: Eukaryota; Metazoa; Arthropoda; Insecta; Coleoptera; Carabidae
Description: tRNA-Ala
Source: RNAcentral